ACCUACAUGUAUAUGCAUAGUAUAACAAAAGAAAGGCUGAUCGUUAUUUUGCAGAAAGCUGAUUUUAUCCUCAUAGCUACCUAAUAGUCAAGUUUUAAUUUGUUUGCUACAAUAACUCACAUAUGGUUGAAUUGGCAUCUCCAACUCCAACCUAUCACCAUUAUUAAGUUUCCCAUCAAGUUUUAUUAAGUGAGUCAUCUGUCAAGAUCAUCCAACAACUGUAAUGGCCUAGCUGCUCAAAAUUGUCCAUAACCGAGGACACGGCUAAUCAUGAUUAGUUUAUACACUCUGCAGAGGUU
Molecule: long non-coding RNA, 299 nt
Filed under: Hordeum vulgare
Lineage: Eukaryota; Viridiplantae; Streptophyta; Magnoliopsida; Poales; Poaceae
Description: long non-coding RNA (HVUL_LNC015001)
Source: RNAcentral